AAAGUACAUGGACCACUUCUUGUUGUGAGGGCGGUGUCCCCUGCAGGGCCCCUGAACAAGAGGCCUACACAGCACAGAAAUAGUGUUUGAACCACCCCGAGCCUAUAUUCACACCUUCAGCUAUAGCACAGGAACGUUCCGUUCAUUUGCUAUAAGCCAAAUUUCUGGCCUUCAUGUUUGGGGGUGGUCACAGCCCCCGUGUGAUCCUUGCUAUAUUUUAGGGCAACCCAUGGGGGACGUUUUAAUUGCGAUAUCUGUCUGCAACCCAAAAGACCUGUUGUAGUGCUCUCCUCUCCCGCUGUUCCCUUUCCGCCUUCCCUUCACCCAGCCUUGUGCCAUCAGCCAGCACGCGGCUCACAAGCCUUUUGCAUAGGUUUGUCUCAUCAAACACAGACUUAUCAAACAGACAGGACAGUCGUCCUGUAGGGGACAGGAGGCCUCCGGCGAUCUUCCUCUGAAAUUCGACUUCAUACGAGGAACACUAGGUGGCACACAACAACCACUGAAUUAUUUCUUUCUUGGUUCAGAAACCAAACAUUGGUUUCCAAGCAUCAGCCUGGAAUAUAAUUAAAGGACUGAGUGCAAAACACAACCCUAAAAACCCACUGGGAAGAUAACCUUUCCAAUAAAACUUCACCUCUCUUCUUCCAUCAGAAUUACUAUUUUGCUAUGUUUAACUGCCUAAUUUGUCAGAUUCCAAAAGUAAGCACACAUUAUAUGGUGUGCCACAUUAUAUAGUGGCUUGUUGAGGGGCAAGGGAAUACUAUCAUUUCAGGGCAAUAUAAAUAAUAGUGUAACAAGCAAAGUAAAGCACACUUGGCUCAGCAGCAUCUGCAGGUCAAAAAUGAGAAUCUCAUCCACCUGGAUGAGAGUCAAGCUAUAUCAUAAUCUAUCCUAAGGUUUCCAUUAAAGGAUCAGUGAUUCAGUUUGUAAGUAAAAUCAAAUACUCACUUUUACUCUUUAUAUACUGUUAAGUAUUUUUUUCCUCACCCUCAGAGAGGAUAAAAAGCCAGGAAUAUAUUUUGCUGCUCCAAAUUCCUGUGCCUUAUUGUAUCAGUGGUUAGCAUGGAUUCAUUUUAAUUCUGGGGGGGAAAAAAAUAACAUUCUUUUGGUCAAAAGAUACCUUUAUAUUCCACCGUUGAUAAAAAUCCAGCACAUAAAAAGGAAAAGCAUUUACGGGACUCUUUACAGCUCAUUUCCAAAGGACUCAGCCUGCCAGUUCCUGGUGCCACUUCACAGAGCCGUCUCAGUAGCACAAACUGGAGCGACUUCUGUGUGUGGUUUUUCACAGAUUUUUACAGAUAUCUCAUGGAAACUUAAUAUCAGCUAAUUAAUCAAGUUGGAUGAGGGCUGCCUAAUAGCAGGGGAACAACUGAACGUACCACUUCCAAGAACAAGGACAGAAUGAGAAGCAACCUAAAGGGGACCAUUUGUGUGCUGAUACAGCUGCGCCACUUUCAGAGCUGCUCUCAGAACUUGUUGCAUACAGUUUUACCAAACUGACAGGAAAUGAGUGAAAGCACAAAGAGCCAUUCCUCAGCAAAGGGGAUGAGCACUGCAGUCAGAUGCCUACUAGCCUGCCCAGAAAUGCCCUUGCUGCAUAACUACAUACACUGAAAUACUUUUCACCAAUGUUUUAGAGUAACUCUUGCAAUUUGAUUGUCUGACCCCAGCAAAGUUUAA
Molecule: long non-coding RNA, 1683 nt
Organism: Meleagris gallopavo (turkey)
Lineage: Eukaryota; Metazoa; Chordata; Aves; Galliformes; Phasianidae
Source: Ensembl